ACCACUAUGGUAUGCUCCCAAACUUUCACCCCAAAGAGCCCUAAGUGUUCCUCUACAGACCUCCUGUUCUUCUCAGUAAAUGAGACAUUAUUAAUGUC
This is a long non-coding RNA of Alosa sapidissima (American shad), 98 nucleotides long. RefSeq lists it as uncharacterized. NCBI's taxonomy places the organism in Eukaryota, Metazoa, Chordata, Actinopteri, Clupeiformes, Clupeidae. The transcript is spliced from 3 exons. The record is from RefSeq and is a predicted model, not a curated record.